Molecule: ribosomal RNA, 461 nt
Filed under: uncultured bacterium
Lineage: Bacteria
Description: partial 16S ribosomal RNA
Rfam family: Bacterial small subunit ribosomal RNA
Source: RNAcentral
GCGAACGCUGGCGGCGUGCUUAACACAUGCAAGUCGAACGGAAAGGCCUUUUCGGAGGUACUCGAGUGGCGAACGGGUGAGUAACACGUGGGUGAUCUGCCCUGCACUCUGGGAUAAGCCUGGGAAACUGGGUCUAAUACCGGAUAGGACCGCACUUUAGUGUGUGUGGUGGAAAGUUUUUUCGGUGUAGGAUGAGCCCGCGGCCUAUCAGCUUGUUGGUGGGGUAAUGGCCUACCAAGGCGGCGACGGGUAGCCGGACUGAGGGGUUGGUCGGCCACAUUGGGGGUGAGGAACCGCCCGAACCCCUCCGGGGGGCAGGGGGGGGGAAAUUUGCAAAAUGGGGGAAAGCCUGAUGCAGGAACGCCGCGGGGGGGAUGAGGGCCUUCGGGUUUUAAACUCUUUUCGCCAGGGAAGAAGCGUUUUGUGACGGUACCUGGAGAAAAAGCAGCGGCUGACUACGU